This 1372-nucleotide ribosomal RNA is filed under the name uncultured bacterium. RNAcentral's name for it is "bacterial SSU rRNA". It matches the Rfam family "Bacterial small subunit ribosomal RNA", at positions 28 to 1381 of the family's 1533-position model. The record is from RNAcentral.
GAUGAACGCUGGCGGCGUGCCUAAUACAUGCAAGUCGAGCGAACGGACGAGAAGCUUGCUUCUCUGAUGUUAGCGGCGGACGGGUGAGUAACACGUGGAUAACCUACCUAUAAGACUGGGAUAACUUCGGGAAACCGGAGCUAAUACCGGAUGAUAUUUUGAACCGCAUGGUUCAAAAGUGAAAGACGGUCUUGCUGUCACUUAUAGAUGGAUCCGCGCUGCAUUAGCUAGUUGGUAAGGUAACGGCUUACCAAGGCAACGAUGCAUAGCCGACCUGAGAGGGUGAUCGGCCACACUGGAACUGAGACACGGUCCAGACUCCUACGGGAGGCAGCAGUAGGGAAUCUUCCGCAAUGGGCGAAAGCCUGACGGAGCAACGCCGCGUGAGUGAUGAAGGUCUUCGGAUCGUAAAACUCUGUUAUUAGGGAAGAACAUAUGUGUAAGUAACUGUGCACAUCUUGACGGUACCUAAUCAGAAAGCCACGGCUAACUACGUGCCAGCAGCCGCGGUAAUACGUAGGUGGCAAGCGUUAUCCGGAAUUAUUGGGCGUAAAGCGCGCGUAGGCGGUUUUUUAAGUCUGAUGUGAAAGCCCACGGCUCAACCGUGGAGGGUCAUUGGAAACUGGAAAACUUGAGUGCAGAAGAGGAAAGUGGAAUUCCAUGUGUAGCGGUGAAAUGCGCAGAGAUAUGGAGGAACACCAGUGGCGAAGGCGACUUUCUGGUCUGUAACUGACGCUGAUGUGCGAAAGCGUGGGGAUCAAACAGGAUUAGAUACCCUGGUAGUCCACGCCGUAAACGAUGAGUGCUAAGUGUUAGGGGGUUUCCGCCCCUUAGUGCUGCAGCUAACGCAUUAAGCACUCCGCCUGGGGAGUACGACCGCAAGGUUGAAACUCAAAGGAAUUGACGGGGACCCGCACAAGCGGUGGAGCAUGUGGUUUAAUUCGAAGCAACGCGAAGAACCUUACCAAAUCUUGACAUCCUUUGACAACUCUAGAGAUAGAGCCUUCCCCUUCGGGGGACAAAGUGACAGGUGGUGCAUGGUUGUCGUCAGCUCGUGUCGUGAGAUGUUGGGUUAAGUCCCGCAACGAGCGCAACCCUUAAGCUUAGUUGCCAUCAUUAAGCUGGGCACUCUAAGUUGACUGCCGGUGACAAACCGGAGGAAGGUGGGGAUGACGUCAAAUCAUCAUGCCCCUUAUGAUUUGGGCUACACACGUGCUACAAUGGACAAUACAAAGGGCAGCGAAACCGCGAGGUCAAGCAAAUCCCAUAAAGUUGUUCUCAGUUCGGAUUGUAGUCUGCAACUCGACUACAUGAAGCUGGAAUCGCUAGUAAUCGUAGAUCAGCAUGCUACGGUGAAUACGUUCCCGGGUCU